This 569-nucleotide ribosomal RNA is filed under the name Priestia endophytica. RNAcentral's name for it is "bacterial SSU rRNA". It matches the Rfam family "Bacterial small subunit ribosomal RNA", at positions 945 to 1506 of the family's 1533-position model. Lineage: Bacteria; Bacillati; Bacillota; Bacilli; Caryophanales; Bacillaceae. The record is from RNAcentral.
UUUAAUUCAAACCAACCCGAAAAACCUUACCAGGUCUUGACAUCCUCUGCUACUUCUAGAGAUAGAAGGUUCCCUUCGGGGACAGAGUGACAGGUGGUGCAUGGUUGUCGUCAGCUCGUCGUCGUGAGAUGUUGGGUUAAGUCCCGCAACGAGCGCAACCCUUGAUCUUAGUUGCCAGCAUUUAGUUGGGCACUCUAAGGUGACUGCCGGUGACAAACCGGAAGGAAGGUGGGGAUGACGUCAAAUCAUCAUGCCCCUUAUGACCUGGGCUACACACGUGCUACAAUGGAUGGAACAAAGGGCUGCAAAACCGCAAGGUUAAGCCAAUCCCAUAAAACCAUUCUCAGUUCGGAUUGUAGGCUGCAACUCGCCUGCAUGAAGCCGGAAUCGCUAGUAAUCGCGGAUCAGCAUGCCGCGGUGAAUACGUUGCCCGGGUCUUGUACACACCGGCCCGUCACACCACGAGAGUUUGUAGACACCCGAAGUCGGUGAAGGUAACCUUUUUUGGGAGCCAGCCGACGAAGGUGGGGCAGAUGAUUGGGGUGAAGUCGUAACAAGGUAACCGUACC